This 87-nucleotide transfer RNA is filed under the name Hyphomicrobiales bacterium. RNAcentral's name for it is "tRNA-Leu". It matches the Rfam family "tRNA". From Rfam's summary of the family: Transfer RNA (tRNA) molecules are approximately 80 nucleotides in length. Their secondary structure includes four short double-helical elements and three loops (D, anti-codon, and T loops). Further hydrogen bonds mediate the characteristic L-shaped molecular structure. tRNAs have two regions of fundamental functional importance: the anti-codon, which is responsible for specific mRNA codon recognition, and the 3' end, to which the tRNAs corresponding amino acid is attached (by aminoacyl-tRNA synthetases). tRNAs cope with the degeneracy of the genetic code in two manners: having more than one tRNA (with a specific anti-codon) for a particular amino acid; and 'wobble' base-pairing, i.e. permitting non-standard base-pairing at the 3rd anti-codon position. Lineage: Bacteria; Pseudomonadati; Pseudomonadota; Alphaproteobacteria; Hyphomicrobiales. The record is from RNAcentral. RNAcentral also lists the same sequence under 1 other name.
GCCCAGAUGGCGGAAUUGGUAGACGCACCAGUUUCAGGUACUGGCGCUGUAAAAGGCGUGGAGGUUCGAGUCCUCUUCUGGGCACCA